UUUUUUUCCGUUGAUAUUUUUAAUAAAGUCGUUUCGGUACAUUUCAGGGCGCAACGAAAAUAAAAAAUUCUUACACGUGUUGUUUUACGUUCGGAAAUUCGGAACGUCGACUUCAUUCGAGGUAUAAUAUCAUCACCGUGCCGUCUGAUUAUUCGUCAUUACAUUUUUGAACGCGUCGAGAAAAAACGUCGAGAUAACAUUCGUCUCGUUACCACCGCGCAAACCACGGAAAUUAUUUACAAUCCUAAUGUAAGUGUGCAUUGCAAUAUGCGUCAAGAGAACGUGCCAAUUACCGUGUUUCAGUGGUGGCGAAUUUCGCGA
Cinara cedri is the source of this 321-nucleotide non-coding RNA. The record is from the annotation of a GenBank genome assembly. Lineage: Eukaryota; Metazoa; Arthropoda; Insecta; Hemiptera; Aphididae.